Long non-coding RNA from Megalobrama amblycephala (Wuchang bream), 3155 nucleotides. RefSeq lists it as uncharacterized. The record is from RefSeq and is a predicted model, not a curated record. The transcript is spliced from 7 exons. Lineage: Eukaryota; Metazoa; Chordata; Actinopteri; Cypriniformes; Xenocyprididae.
UCUCCCUUUGCAUUGAACUUUGAGCGUCGUAACUUUGCAGAUGUUGUUUAUCCUCAAACAGCAACAUUACACACUAAAUAAAGUAAAAAAAAAGUGAAAUCUUAAUCAACAACCCCUUUAAAAGUGUAGUGGUUGAAAUGGGUACUGCAGUCCAAAUUCAAAAUAUUUUAGAGAGUUGAAUUUGUUAAUUUCUGAAUUUUGCACAAUUCUGCUUGACAGACGUGGUCACUCAAGACCUGCAUGAAGAUUCUUCCAAAGUUUUCCUUCUAUGCUUACAGGUUUGGAAGGAUAUGAGGGUGAGUAUAUCAUGGCAAAAUUUUCAGUUUUAGGUGAAACAACCCUUUAUCUUGGCCUUUUGAGUCAGUCAAUUGUUCAUCUUUCUCAUCAUCAUGUACAGAAAGUUAUAAACUACCUACUUCUUGUGGAGACAUAUUUAGGCUGUGCUUUAGAGUUCUUCUAUCAUCAGAUUUUCUGGGAAAAUCACUUUGAGUUUAAUGAACAGAAAGUUCUGUAGCAGACAGGGUGUUUAAACUAGCAGCCAGUUCCCAGAAAGAUUUUAAUUAUGUUCACUUCCUGUCUAAACUAAUGAACAUGACAUGCAACGCAAAUAUGUAGACAGACGCAUCCAGUGAAGACUGAAAUCUCACCCACAGUUAUAAUUUGCUCUAAUUUUCCUUCAACUAAAAGCUCAAGAUUGUGAGCCUGUCAUCCUCACAUUUCGUUUCAUUUAAUAUUUUGAACAUUUUCUUUAAAGGGUUUGUUCACCCAAAAAUGAAAAUAAUGUCAUUUAUUACUCAUUCAUCUUUAGAACAGAAAUUAAGUUAUUUUUGGGUUUUCAUUUUUGAGUGAACUAACACUUUAUCAGCAUAAAUUUUGCAGUUUUAAUUGUAAUAAAAUCACUUCAGAAAUAAUAGCUGAGUGAAAACAAUAACACAGGCAUUAAAAAGCAAAUGAGAAACCUGCUGAAAAGCCCUGACCUCAUUUGGUGUUCCCUAAAAAAUGUCUAGCCUUUUAAAAAUUGCUAGUAAAUCUCUCAUUAUUAUGCUGUAUUAUCACCAAAUAUUGGAUUCAAUCUUUUUGUCAACUUGUUUUCUUUCAAUUAACACAGGUUUUGUAUUUCUUUUUGGAACUGAAAUUGAUCAUAAUGAUCUGAGAUUAUGUAGCCCUACCAGUUUUUGUGUGGAAAAACAGUUCAUUCAAGCUUAUUCACCUCAAAAAAAAAAAAAAAAAAAAAACCCUGACAAACUGUUUAAAAUGAUAAAGGAAAUUAUAAAUUCUGGCUGCUGCCAGAAUGUGAUUAUUUCCAAAAGCAAUUUGCAGUCCCUUGUGUUAGUGUCUAAUCAUUACAAACAAAUGAGUGUAUAUAAACUGCUUUAUUGAUGCAUUUAUCUCUACAGUAUUAACAAAAUAUAAUUAAUUAUAAACUGUACAGAUAUAAUCUGAGGAAGUGGGGAUAUUUAUUGGUUCACAGAUGUUCCUCAAUGCGUCUUACCCAGGGUCCAAAUACAAUGCAAGUAAAAAAGGGAUUUGGUGAGUAAAUGAAAAAUGCAUUACCUUUCUUUUGUAGAAACUGCAUCUCAACAUAAUGCAGGCUUCAAACGAAUCAAUGCAUGCCACAAAAAAUGAAAACGGCUAUUCCUUUGUCAAAAAUAUAUCAAGCAAAUACAGCAGGAUACAGUUUCAUUGCAGGUUGAAAUAUUAAUGGCCAGUGAUGAAUCUUCAUAAUUAGCAGAAAGUGUUCAUUCCUGUGAGAAAAUCAAUUAUAUGUGCAAAUGUGACGGACUGAGAUCUCUUCUAUUUUCUGCAGAAUACCUAAAAGGUCAUGCAUUAUUAUUUUUUACUGUCUCGCUUUACUUUUUACUAUUGUACUUGACCUUGUGAGCUCAACAAAAGCUGUUAAAAAUGUCGUCAUCUCCUGCUUUUCUUUGGUCUAGAGGUAAAUAAUGCUGUUUCUAAGCUCAAUAAAUCUGCUGCUGUUGCUGUCCAACACUGCGAUCAGUUUCAUUGCCUGCCAACUUGAGGAAUGAUUACAUGCAUCUGAGAAAAAGGUGAGUGAUGUGCAGUUUAUUUUUAUUGCCUUAUGAAAAAGUUGAGAUUACAAGAAAACAAGACAGAAAAUUGUGUGAAGCUGCUGUCAAAUAAAUAUAUGCCUUCUCUCUUCUUGAACCUGAUGCAGUUCUCCUCCAUGCAUGGAAAUCCUGUCCGCGUUUACCCGUGGAGAACAGAUUCUGUGCAUCAAUGUCAAACUCUGAGAGAGGGAUUUCAACCUAAUUCAGUUAAUCACAAAGAGCACAUGGAACACUCUAUAUAUGUCAAUGAGAAAAGCUGUGAGUACAGCUGAGCGCUUUAAUCAGCUCUGAGAGACGACAGCAGCCAGUCAUGAACCGCCCCGCGUGCCACGGCUUUACUGAGAUGGGCCUUCGUAAUCAGUACAAAUGAGAGUGGGACGCACUUCAGCAGAGAUUAGAGACCGCAACAUACACGCUUGACUGCAGAGUGAGACCUGAAAUAUACUCUACGCGAGUACGUGAGCGCAAAUGCAAGCAUGCAGUGCCGCGGUGGUAUGGGCGGCUUUUUCCGAUCUGGAGGCGGCGGACGGACCCCUUCCUCCAGCUGCAUGAGGCGGGCCACAUCUGGAGGGAUGUGCUCGGGUUUGCCCUCUGGUGGCGGGGGCUGGAAACUACCAUUGUUCUGCUGACAGUUUGGCAAACCCUGAUAUGGGCCAUGAUUCCUGUGGCCAGAGCGUCGCCCAUCACAUUGACCAUGGUGCGAAAUCUGUCUCUGAAGAGCGAUAAUGAGAGUGAUGUCAUCAGUGGGCAGUCCUACAGAUGUCAGCACUAUUACCAUAGUGACCAGACCGGCCUGUGGGAUCCCGGCUGCACCGAUGCUCGCUGCCGUCGCUGUAAUACUGGAAAACAUGUAGACACAUGUGAACCACAGCCACUGGCAGAGGUCACAACCUCCUGCUGACGGGGUGUGUAGUUUGAAAUGAGAGCUUCAAGCGUGUGCUGAAAUCUGUGUUUGUGUGUGUUGUACCUGGAGGACGUGGCCAGUGAGAUGAGCAGCGCCUGCAGGAUUCCUCGGAUGUAGACGAUGGGGCUCUUCUUGGUGAUGAAGAAGUACAUGCUGGGCAGAAUGAAGAGGCCGUGCAGAAU